AGCUCCUAGAAAGGUAAAAGACAACCGGAACCAGUUCCGCUAUUAGAGUUUAUUCAAUCAGGUGCAAUGGCAUCAAAUGCCGGCCGGCAGGUGGCAUUUUUUGUAGUAUUUACUCAUUUAAACGAAAGUGAUAGCAACUAUGAAUUAGCCAAGCGGCAACCGCAAUUAAGCAACUGCCAACGCACACAGAUAUGGAACACGAGCAUAUGACUGAGUUUCGGCUUGGGUUGGCAGUCGCAGGCCAGAGUAAACAUAUUCAUGGCAAUCAGAUGUUUUGGAUGGGUGUUUCGACCCAUUCCGAUGCCAAAUGUUGAUACCAAACGAUCCCAGAGGUUGGGGAACAUCUUCUCCCCGCCCGUCCCGCGACCUUUCCUGACAUGCUCAUUCCUCAGGAAUUCGCGACUCCUUCACCGCUCCCACAACCACUCACCCGUGCUCACAAUUAUUAUAACCCGGUCAGGGGGAUGAAUCCGAAUUCGUAAACGCCAAGCUGUUUGAACAAUAACAACUCUUAAAACAGUCUGCAGGCACCAGAAACUCGGUGCGAUGCGACACGACUUUAACUUUUUGCCGCCUAUAACUUAUAAGAAAAUCAAGCAAAAGCUCCACACUAACAGCCCCACUCGCACACUCGCAUACUAGCACACAUGGCAGCUACAACAACAGGCAGCAGCAGACGUGCACAUAAAGCUUAAGUCGACAGCAAUUCGAAACACUCACACACGGGGCCAUGGCAAAACCCCAGCGGAGAGAGCUCACUCGGAGCAGGGGCGCCCUCAAAAAGGGGGAGUUACGAUACCACGAUGGGCAAGAAGUAUUGAUACAUCUCUAUCCACAUACUGAAUAUAAACUAUACAUAUACAAUAUUGAUAUCUUACUGUUUAUAAGGAAAAUAUAAGUUUAUUCUGUACAUCUAAGCCCAUAAUAUUAAAGACCCUCUACAUAAAUUAGUUUGCAAGGUAUUCCAAUUUCUAUCCAUAAUGCUCUCCCCCUAAAAUAUAAUCAGACUAAGCCUCUGACAAUCCACAGCGGCAGUAGAAAGAAAAAUACAACGAACGAACGAACGACCGAACGAGCGAACGUUGUUCGUUUUGGUAUCUGAGAAAUUAAGUGAAGUGAAAUGAAAUGUACGACGACGAACUGACGGCACAAGGCGGCGGCAUGGGAUGGGAUGGUAUGGUAUAGUAUGGGAUGGCGAUGUCGAUGUCGAUGUGGUGCGGAGACGUUGCUGAGCGGGGCAUAAAAGCUAUGUGGAACGAACCGAGCAACCAACCAGCCAACGAUCAAGCGGGCGAGCCACAACGGCAAAGGCAAAGGCGACGGACGGCUGCAACUUGAAGCGUUCCAAGGGGUGAUUGAGAGGUUGGGAUGGCGGGGGUUCUGGCGACGGAUGGAGGCUACGACUACCCGGGGAUCGGGCAAGUGGCUGUGGUAGUUAUGGCGCGCUCGAAGCGAACGAAAGGCAACGGCAACGAUGACAAAGACGUAGAUAAGGAACAGAAACAUGCACACACAGAUACAUACCCAUACCGAGGCACGUACACUCUAAAUGUUGGAAUAUAAUAAAAUGAAAUAAGCAACGACGGCAACGGCGGCACUGCCAGGCAAGACCAGGCCAUUCGUACGAAUUCGAAUUCGCAUUUUAGCGAGGGGUUUUCUCGAGGGGGGUAGACCACUGGUACGGGUACGGGUACGCUACACCACUUGAGUUGCGAGACGACGACGAGAAUAGCAAGCAAGCAAACAGCAAGUAAGCAAGCUGGCAAAAGCAAAGCUAUUGGCCAGGCCGAAUAGAGGGCUUUGUCCAAAGGGGCGUAGCGGGGUUAGAUUUUAGGGGGACCGACGGACGGGCACAAACAAAAAGCGGCCCACGUUUGUAGUCUGAAUCCGUGUCUGUGUGAGCCUGUGGUCGCGUAGAAAAAUUACUUGGAAAGAAAAACAAGCGCGUUGCGGAUACAACAACAAUGGAAUCAUUUAUAACGAAAAUAAAGCGAGGCAAACACAAAUAAAAAAUAGAUAAAAAUAUGGGGGAACACAACUUCCACAACUCUGGCCCAAUCAAUCGCAAUUCAGCAGCCAAAUAAAGUUCAGCCAAGAUUUGCGCGCCAAAACUGUUGAGACUUCGAUUUUUGGGCACGAUUUCAGAGAAGGGGAAUCGCCCGCCUUGGACCCCACUUGAAAACCGAAAGAGCAAAAAGAAGAGACCCCAUCAUCUUUCAUCUUUCGUUCUCAAGAUGCGAUGAUGAUGAAGCAGCAUUGGGCACAGGUUCGACUUUUGGCCCUCGAAAGCGCACUUCACCACAUUUUAUGCCGUGUCAUUUGUGGACGUUCAUUUAAAUAAAGAAUAUGCAUGCCUACAUGUUGGCUGGCUGCAUGGAUAGCGAGUAUGGCAAGCGAGCGUUGCAAAAAAGGAACCAAAAAAACCAAAAACAAGGACUGGCAUACAUGCGCUUGUUCUGCGGCCAGUGAAGAGGUAAAAAAAUAAGAGAAAUAAAAGGAGCGGUAAACACGAAACCGGCGGAAAGGAGGGGCAGCCGGGAAUUUAUAAACACAGCCAGUCGGAGAGAAAAAGUAAUAAACUCGGGCAUAUCAUAAAAAUGAAAACAUGAGGGAAGGGCCGACGCAUGCACAACGUAUUUUGAAAUACCCUAGCUGGAAGGUUUUGCCCUGCCAAUUAGUAAGUUUCAUGUUAGGAGGACGAUUCGUUGGCAAAAUUAUACUCUAUCUUCCUAGAUUCAAAUAGUUGGUGCGUUAAAACAUGUAAUUUUAACCAACUAAACCCUUAGCUAAGAAUACCCCUCAAGUAGCACAAAUUAUAAUGCCCCACUGCAAAGGGUAAAAACCUCAAAAACUGAAGCAGUGAGAAUGCGAAACAAACAACAAAUAGUUUACCACACCAUGUCCCGCAUAGCCUCAGUCUCAGUCCCAGUCCACGUCUCCGCGUCUCCAUUCUUGCAAUCUCCACCCCCUCAAGUGCAAUGGUUUUCAUUUUGCACAGCUUCUACGCCGGAUCGGAGGGGUUUAACCUAAGAGCCAGGGAACGAGAACUUACUAUAUAUAAAGAACUUAGCACAGCACAGCUGAGCGACAGCCAGCCAGCCAGUCGGACUCUCGCUCAUUAGAAGUUCUCAUCCUCCCAAUGUGGGAGAGGGUCUCCGUUUCCAUCUGCGUCUGGUUGUGGGUCUGGAUCUGUUUCUGAAUCCGAUUCUGGGUCCGAGCCCGUUCGGAUCCAUGCUCAUGCAAUUUGUGUGUGCGCUAGCUGAAAAUUUUAUGAGCGAAUCGAAAGUUUGUGCAAUCGUGUUGAGUGUGCAUGGCGCAAAUUGCACAGUCCAACUUGCCUGUGUUGAUCUACGAUUCAAAUCAAACUGAAUGAUUACAGAUUCCGGGAAUUUAGCUUACAAUUUUAAUACUAGUAGUAUAUAAAAGUAUAAGAAGAUUCCUUUCAACUUUACUCAUUAUUCGUAUCGAAACAAAAUAAUACAUUUAUCAGCAAUUCUAUUUUUAGCCAGAAAGUUAUGGAAAUCACACUUGUAGCGAGUUAUAGAAAUAACCAUCCAUCUGAAGUCCUAAGGGAAUUGUUGGGGUUUUUCGUUCAUGACAAAUGGUUCGAUUUAUAGAAGCUCGACUGUAUAUAGAGAACAGAUACUCGCACAUUCGUAUACCAGCAGCAGAAGUCGCUUUGGAUCUGCUCGGUUCGCUUGGGCUUAGUUUGGUUCGCUUCGAUUUGCUUCGUACCGUUUCGUCCGCUCGUUGGCUGCUUUUGCCAGCGGAGCAGCAGUCAGUCGGUGGCCCCAAUCCUUGCCCCGCAUCUCCCCCUGACCACUUACAAUAUGGCAAACUAACAGACUGUCAGACUGACUGGCAAUCUGACGCAGCAACAGAGCAGUAGACCAACAGCAAC
This is a long non-coding RNA of Drosophila yakuba, 3901 nucleotides long. RefSeq lists it as uncharacterized. Lineage: Eukaryota; Metazoa; Arthropoda; Insecta; Diptera; Drosophilidae. The transcript has 2 exons. The record is from RefSeq and is a predicted model, not a curated record.